CCGGCCGCGCUGCGCGGCCGCGCUGGGCGGGAGGCGGCGGGAGAUGCGGCCGCCGGCGCUGCCGCGACUCCUGCUGGGGCCGCUGCUGGUGUUGUUGGUGCUGCUGGAGGCCGCCUGCUGCGGGGAGGCUGCGGCCCCGCGGCCCCGCGACGCCGCCACAGCUUUCCUGCGCCCUACGGAGGCGGCCGGCGGGGCCGCCACGCGGAGCAGCAGCAGCAGCAGCAGCAGCAGCCGCCUGGCCGAGGUGUCAGCGCCGCCCGAGCAGGGCCAGCCCAUGACCCAGCGCGCCCUGUCCGUGCUGGUGCUGGCCAGCGCCGCCCUUAUCGUCUACUUCGUGAUCCGGACCGUGCGGCUCAGAAGGCAAAACAGAAAAACCCGAAGAUACGGAGUUUUGGAUACAAACAUAGAAAAUAUGGAGCUGACCCCAUUAGAACAAGAUGAUGAUGAUGAUGAUACGCUAUUUGAUGUCAGCCAUCCUCGAAGUUGGAGAAGGGAUGUCAAGAUCACUUGAAUUUUAAAUGGGCAAGAAUUUAGUGGGCAAGAAGAUAAACACCAUUUGUCUUCAACAUGUGAGUUCCAGAGAAAUGGAGAGGAAGAGAAGUACGUGCCUUUCAGUGAAAGAACUUAAUCUUAGAACCAGAGAAGGAGACUGCUUCAUGGGAGAAAUAAGAAGCAAGAGGCUUUUUCUUGAAAAAAGAAAAUAAAUCCAGCAAAAAUCCUGGAGGUAAGGUAAAUGGCAUUUUUGAGGAAUCUUAAUUAAACUUCUUCAAGACUUUACAUUAUUGAAAGGUCUAGAUGCCAGGUUUUGAAACUUGAGAGAUUUCAUGAGGAAUAUGUUUGCACUGAUACUACUCCUUUUACCUGCCUUGGUCAUUGUCCAGUAUGAGGUGUGUGACUGUGUGGAUUUCUCUUCAGACCAAACACAGUCAUUUUUAUUCUGUGCUCUGAUAGAGUCCAAAGACCUCUCAUAUUUCUAAUCAGAAAACACUGUUUUGCGAAGACAUAAAUUAAACCUGGUAAAUCAAAGCAGACAUAUAUACAUUAGCAUUUUUUUGUCAUGUUUCUGAAAGUUAGUAGUACACUUCCCAGUACGAAGAUUAUUCAGAUAAGUGGUAAAAUUUAAUUCGCAGUUUAACUGUCCUUUCUAUCAGAUCUUUAAUUUUGCUUUUCCCAAUAUGAAAUCUAAAUCUUGGUUUUAGUCAUUUUAAGCCUAUUUCACUGUAGCUACAGUUAAUGGUAAAAAGAACUUUGUCUUUUUGCAGAUUUGCCAUUUCUGUCGAGAUAAUUAUAUUGCCUCACCGUCUUGUCUAAACAAGACACCCUCAGUUUCUUUUGUCCUGUAUUGGUUUUGCAUUGUUUUUGGUAAGAGGGCAUGCUACAGGGGUGGCUUCUGUGAGAAGCUGCUAGAAGCUUCCACUCUAUUCAGCAGGGUCGAUCCCUGGUGUCUACAGAAAUAAACGUGCUGCUGGCCAAACCUGGGCCAGUUAGAAAUGGUGAUAAUGCCUCUGUGAUAACAAACACAUUUAAGAAGAAAGAUAAACAAAAAGUUGUUGCUCAGUUUUAAUUCCAGCCAGAGGAGAGCAGGGUGAGAACAUGUGAGAAGAAAACUA
Molecule: RNA transcript, 1610 nt
Organism: Parus major (Great Tit)
Lineage: Eukaryota; Metazoa; Chordata; Aves; Passeriformes; Paridae
Gene: FAM174A
Gene name: family with sequence similarity 174 member A
Exons: 5
Source: RefSeq, a predicted model, not a curated record